ACUCAAAUGAAUUGACGGGGGCCCGCACAAGCAGUGGAUUAUGUGGUUUAAUUCGAAGCAACGCGAAGAACCUUACCAGGUCUUGACAUCCCUUGCAUAGCAUUGAAAGAUGUGAAACCCUUCGGGGCAAGGAGACAGGUGGUGCAUGGUUGUCGUCAGCUCGUGUCGUGAGAUGUUGGGUUAAGUCCCGCAACGAGCGCAACCCCUACUAUUAGUUGCUACGCAAGAGCACUCUAAUGGGACUGCCGUUGACAAAACGGAGGAAGGUGGGGACGACGUCAAAUCAUCAUGCCCUUUAUGAUCUGGGCUACACACGUAAUACAAUGGUACUUUAACAGAGGGCAGCUACACCGCGAGGUGACGCCAAACCCUAAAAAGUAUCUCAGUUCGGAUUGCAGGCUGCAACUCGCCUGCAUGAAGUCGGAAUUGCUAGUAAUCGCGGAUCAUCAUGCCGCGGUGAAUACGUUCCCGGGCCUUGUACACACCGCCCGU
Molecule: ribosomal RNA, 492 nt
Filed under: uncultured bacterium
Lineage: Bacteria
Description: bacterial SSU rRNA
Rfam family: Bacterial small subunit ribosomal RNA
Source: RNAcentral